Jaculus jaculus (lesser Egyptian jerboa) is the source of this 542-nucleotide long non-coding RNA. RefSeq lists it as uncharacterized. NCBI's taxonomy places the organism in Eukaryota, Metazoa, Chordata, Mammalia, Rodentia, Dipodidae. The record is from RefSeq and is a predicted model, not a curated record. The transcript is spliced from 4 exons.
GCGAGCCGGCGGGGGCUGGCCGGGCGGGGGCAGCUGUCAAACCCUGCGGGGGCUUCGGGAACCCGGGGAAGAGGACCUGAGACCCGAGGCCCGCUGCCUGGGAUGUUUGCCUCGCGUGCCUGGGUCUCGGGCGCUGCUCGGUGAUGAUGGAGACGGGGACCCCUCCUCACCAUGUCUGGUUGUCGGCGACCCAGAUGCCAUGAGAUGGUCAUUUGAAGACAGGACUUCUGGACAUCAGGUUAACUUUUCCUCAGGUCCUUGUUCAACUCCCCACUGGCCGUGGCAAGUGGCGCCCAAACGUGGGGCUCAAGGUAUGAAGUGUGACCUGGUUGUUGCUCAAGUGGACUGCCGUCCCAGCCAUUGGACCACCACCCCAACAGGGGUGAUUGAAGGUUGGCAUAGAUCACUACAGGCAAUACACCUGUAAUACAGAUCUGCUCUGUGAUCACCACAGAAAAACCCACCUGUGAUACAGAUCUGCUAAGAUUAAAGCCAUUAAGAUGCAGCCUUUACAGGUCCAUUAUCACAGACUGGAGCUGGCG